UCCUUCAAUAGGAGCAUCAGAAUGCUCAAUUGGUUAAAAAUGGGGAAGAGAAAGAGAAACCCGGGGCCCGAUCGGACAUGCAAGUACCUCGUGUUUGUUCACAAGUUUGGUGGAAAGAUAUACGAGAGAUAUGGGCUUAGAGGAGACGAUCUCUUGCAGAGGAAACCAAUAAAAUGAAAGAAGCAUGGGCGAAGGUCUCUGUCUAACAAAAUAAGAUAUGGUUCCUCGUUUCUCUUCUUUGUCUCAUGUGUAAGAGGGAAUAAGUUCUUCUUUCAGCAACCCUUUAUAUAAGGAAUCUUGGAAGAGAGUGCGGAAGCAGGUGGCCCAAAUCGCAAAAGAAUGGAGGAACCAAUAUUGGGAGAAUUUGAGGAAUGAAAAGGUUGAGAGAGAACUUCAGUGUAACUUGCUGAAGAUAAGGAAAAGAAAUGAAAGGAGAAAGAAGAAAUACGAGCAGAGACAGAAAGAAGGUCAAAACAAGAAGAUGAAAGUCAACGCAGGGGAAAGAAAAAGAGAUGCGUCAGUAGCACAUUCUUAGUAGCCGUUUGGUGUCAAUGCACCGUUAGUCCAUUCCAUUACUGUGUUGGGCCAUUGGGUAGAUCGAUCAGAGCAGUUUAUGAGGCCAACACGUGUCUACCGAAAGUAUGCAAAAGAAAGAGAUGCGGCUUUCAGGAUAUUCCUUUGCUGCACUCGUUCUGGUUAUUACCCUGCUAUCCCUCCCUUUACAGAUCAUAUCCUUAGCAACCUGGUUGAUGACGAACAAGAUCCAGAAAUUGAUGAUGAUGUUCCAUUUCAUUUAGGGAGUAUAAUGUUCCUUCUCUUAUUUCCUUUUAUGCUCCCAAAAUUCAUUUUAUUUUGCUUUGUUUUAAUUUCUUUUAUAUGCAGUUAGGUAAGUUGUUGGGUUAGUUUUCUUUUGGUUUUGCUGGAAUCUAUUUUGUAUGGCUGACAUUAUUUGUAAAUGGUUUGAAGAUGUUGUUUUGUUUGUUGUGCAAAGUAGCUUUUCUCUUCUUCUUCAAUCGCGUGAGAACCGACCCCUUUCUCUCUGCCUCUUUCCUUCACCAUUUGUGACCGACUAUAUCCGACCGCUGGAAGAAGACGCCGCCUGUAGACCACACCUGCCACGCCCACCAUCGUGACCACUCAGAAUCAUAAAGCCUUCAUCCAAGUCGUCGGACUUCCGCGACACAGCCUAGUCGUCUGCAUGUCUCAGCCCAGCCAUCUAGCGUCACGUCGCAUCCUCAAGUCGCCGCCGCUCCCCCAACCUUGUUUGCUGCCGUAAGUCGCCACCAGCAUUAGAGGUUGCUAGAAUUUUGGGAUUUUGGGUUUUCAAUCGAAGUUUUCGUGGGAGCACCCAGCAGCAUAAGGACCCGAGUGUUGACUUUUGGUGAGUCUUGGUUCUUUUUCUUUAAGGAUUUUUGUUUAUUAAUGGAUAGUUGGCCAAACUUUUGGUUAAAUCUUGAUUGGGGAGGAUUAAUUUGGGUUUUGAAAGAGGUUUGGAGCUGCUAUUCAAACUUUAUCAAAAGCAUUUUGAUACAUUUUGGUAAAUAUGUUAAGCCUUGGAACCCUUGAUUUAAAUAUGGUAUGUUGGAAUUUGAGGCUCUAACCACUGUUAUUGUAUUUGCUUAGAUUGGAACUUUUGUUCGAGUGUUUGGAAGUGAAUUUGAAUCUAACCACACUUUAGACUGAUGGUGAUUGUUAGCACUCCUAUCAGACUGUGUUCAUCCCCUGAGUAUGUUUCGGCAUCCUUAUGGGAUCAACACUUAAGAUUAUGUUAUUGUGUCUCUAUGAAAGCGUGCCUUCAGGUGACGGAAAGGACAAAACGGUGAAUGACAAGAAGAAUCCUAUUGGGGUUGAUGCCCUAAAUCUCCUAGGGUCCUAUAGUUUGUAAAUAUUAUUGAACAAACUCAUUGUGUAUUUAAUAAAAAAAUAUGAUAUUUUAU
Non-coding RNA from Benincasa hispida (wax gourd), 1937 nucleotides. Lineage: Eukaryota; Viridiplantae; Streptophyta; Magnoliopsida; Cucurbitales; Cucurbitaceae. The record is from RefSeq and is a predicted model, not a curated record.